UCGGGAAUUUUGGGCAAUGGGCGCAAGCCUGAUCCAGCCAUACCGCGUGAGUGAAGAAGGCCUUCGGGUUGUAAAGCUCUUUCAGACGGAAAGAAACGGUUACGGCUAAUACCCGUGACUAAUGACGGUACCGUAAGAAGAAGCACCGGCUAACUACGUGCCAGCAGCCGCGGUAAUACGUAGGGUGCGAGCGUUAAUCGGAAUUACUGGGCGUAAAGCGUGCGCAGGCGGUUUGGUAAGACAGAUGUGAAAUCCCCGGGCUUAACCUGGGAACUGCAUUUGUGACUGCCAGACUAGAGUGUAGCAGAGGGGGGUAGAAUUCCACGUGUAGCAGUGAAAUGCGUAGAUAUGUGGAGGAAUACCGAUGGCGAAGGCAGCCCCCUGGGCUAACACUGACGCUCAUGCACGAAAGCGUGGGGAGCAAACAGGAUUAGAUACCCACGUAGUCCCUGAGCGGGCUGGCAAGGCGCAU
This 472-nucleotide ribosomal RNA is filed under the name uncultured bacterium. Its description in RNAcentral is "bacterial SSU rRNA". It matches the Rfam family "Bacterial small subunit ribosomal RNA", at positions 355 to 825 of the family's 1533-position model. The record is from RNAcentral.